RNAcentral lists this ribosomal RNA (381 nucleotides) under uncultured soil bacterium. RNAcentral describes it as "bacterial SSU rRNA". It matches the Rfam family "Bacterial small subunit ribosomal RNA", at positions 26 to 406 of the family's 1533-position model. The record is from RNAcentral.
AGAUUGAACGCUGGCGGCAUGCCUUACACAUGCAAGUCGAACGGCAGCACGGGGGCAACCUUGGUGGCGAGUGGCGAACGGGUGAGUAAUAUAUCGGAACGUGCCCUGGAGUGGGGGAUAACUAGUCGAAAGAUUAGCUAAUACCGCAUACGAUCUACGGAUGAAAGUGGGGGACCGCAAGGCCUCACGCUCCGGGAGCGGCCGAUAUCUGAUUAGCUAGUUGGUGGGGUAAAAGCCUUUACCAAGGCAACGAUCAGUAGCUGGUCUGGGAGGACGACCAGCCACACUGGGACUGAGACACGACCCAGACUCCUACGGGAGGCAGCAGGUGGGUAAUUUAGGACAAGUGGGGAAACCCUGAUCCAGCAAUGCCGCGUGUGU